GAGGGCACUCCCCCUCCUUAAUGACAUGCCCCAACUAAACCCCCACCCCUGAUUUUUUAUCAUGCUCACCUCAUGACUCACCCUCUCCCUAAUCAUCCAACCCAAACUCCUAACCUUCCUAUCAAUAAACCCACCCUCUAAUAAACCACCCGUCACCCCAAACACCACCCCCUGAACCUGACCAUGAACAUAAGCUUCUUCGACCAAUUCUCAAGCCCAUCCCUCCUAGGAAUCCCAUUAAUCCUCAUUUCAAUAACAUUCCCAGCCCUCCUCCUACCGUCCCUAGACAACCGAUGAAUCACCAACCGACUCUCAACCCUUCAACUGUGGUUUGUCAACCUAAUCACAAAACAACUAAUAAUGCCCCUAGACAAAAAAGGACACAAAUGAGCCUUAAUCCUAACCUCCCUCAUAAUCUUCCUCCUACUCAUUAAUCUUCUAGGCCUACUACCCUACACAUUCACACCAACCACUCAACUAUCCAUAAACCUAGCCCUAGCCUUCCCCCUAUGACUAGCCACCCUACUAACAGGACUGCGAAACCAACCCUCCGCCUCUCUAGGCCAUCUCCUGCCAGAAGGUACCCCCACCCCACUAAUCCCAGCCCUCAUCCUAAUCGAAACAACAAGCCUACUCAUCCGCCCAUUAGCACUAGGCGUCCGCCUAACAGCCAACCUCACAGCAGGCCACCUUCUCAUCCAACUCAUCUCUACAGCCACAACAGCCCUAUUCUCUACGAUACCCCUGGUAUCCCUCCUGACCCUACUAAUUCUCCUCCUACUAACCAUCCUAGAAGUGGCGGUAGCAAUAAUCCAAGCCUAUGUCUUUGUUCUCCUGCUAAGCCUUUACCUACAAGAAAACAUCUAACCCCAAUGGCACACCAAGCUCAUUCCUACCACAUAGUUGACCCUAGCCCCUGACCUAUCCUAGGAGCAGCCGCUGCUCUACUAACCACCUCAGGCCUAACAAUGUGAUUCCACUACAACUCCCCCCGACUCCUUAUCUUAGGCCUACUCUCAACCAUCCUCGUUAUAUUCCAAUGAUGACGCGACAUCGUACGAGAAAGCACAUUCCAAGGCCACCACACUCCUACCGUACAAAAAGGACUACGCUACGGAAUAGCCCUAUUCAUCACAUCAGAGGCCUUCUUCUUCCUAGGCUUUUUCUGAGCCUUCUUCCACUCAAGCCUCGCCCCCACGCCCGAACUAGGAGGACAAUGGCCGCCCGUCGGAAUUAAACCACUCAACCCCAUAGAAGUGCCCCUCCUUAACACCGCCAUCCUCCUAGCCUCAGGGGUCACUGUCACAUGGGCUCACCACAGCAUCACAGAAGCCAAUCGAAAACAAGCAAUCCAAGCAUUACUACUAACCGUACUCCUGGGAUUCUACUUCACCGGCCUACAAGCCAUAGAAUACUACGAAGCCCCCUUCUCUAUUGCCGAUGGAGUCUAUGGAUCAACAUUCUUCGUCGCCACUGGAUUCCAUGGCCUCCAUGUAAUUAUUGGCUCCACAUUCCUUCUAGUCUGCCUCCUACGUCUAAUUAAAUACCACUUCACAUCAAACCACCACUUCGGAUUUGAAGCAGCCGCCUGAUACUGACACUUCGUAGACGUCGUAUGAUUAUUCCUCUAUAUUUCUAUCUACUGAUGAGGAUCUU
RNA transcript from Camarhynchus parvulus, 1656 nucleotides. It is a transcript of the gene named cytochrome c oxidase subunit 3-like, with no coding region annotated. The transcript has a single exon. The record is from RefSeq and is a predicted model, not a curated record. NCBI's taxonomy places the organism in Eukaryota, Metazoa, Chordata, Aves, Passeriformes, Thraupidae.